AAAGAAUUAGUUAAUUUAUAACAUAAAUAUGUCAAAUUUAAAUUAUUGUUUAAACAAUAUUCUUUU
RNAcentral lists this transfer RNA (66 nucleotides) under Asota caricae. RNAcentral's name for it is "tRNA-Asp". The record is from RNAcentral. Lineage: Eukaryota; Metazoa; Arthropoda; Insecta; Lepidoptera; Erebidae.